GUGGGGAAUUUUCCGCAAUGGGCGAAAGCCUGACGGAGUGACGCCGCGUGUGGGACGAAGGCCUUCGGGUCGUAAACCACUGUCAGUGGGAAAGAUGGGUGUCGGAGCGAUAACCUCCGGCACUUGACGGUACCUGCAGAGGAAGCCCCGGCUAACUCUGUGCCAGCAGCCGCGGUAAGACAGAGGGGGCAAGCGUUGCUCGGAAUUACUGGGCGUAAAGGGCGCGUAGGCGGGAUGGCAAGUCGGUCGUGAAAUACCUCGGCUCAACUGAGGAGCGUCGAUCGAUACUGCCGUUCUUGAGGGUUGCAGAGGAGACUGGAAUUCCCGGUGUAGCGGUGAAAUGUGUAGAGAUCGGGAGGAACACCGGUGGCGAAGGCGGGUCUCUGGGCAACUCCUGACGCUGAGGCGCGAAAGCGUGGGGAGCAAACGGGAUUAGAAACCCGUGUAGUCC
RNAcentral lists this ribosomal RNA (451 nucleotides) under uncultured bacterium. Its description in RNAcentral is "bacterial SSU rRNA". It matches the Rfam family "Bacterial small subunit ribosomal RNA", at positions 354 to 796 of the family's 1533-position model. The record is from RNAcentral.